GAAUAUUGGACAAUGGGGGGAACCCUGAUCCAGCCAUGCCGCGUGAGUGAAGAAGGUCUUCGGAUUGUAAAGCUCUUUUGCCAGGGACGAUAAUGACGGUACCUGGAGAAUAAGCCCCGGCAAACUUCGUGCCAGCAGCCGCGGUAAUACGAAGGGGGCUAGCGUUGUUGGGAAUUACUGGGCGUAAAGCGCACGUAGGCGGGUCGUUAAGUAAGGGGUGAAAUCCCGGGGCUCAACUCCGGAACUGCCUUUGAUACUGGCGAUCUAGAGAUCGGAAGAGGUGGGUGGAAUUCCCAGUGUAGAGGUGAAAUUCGUAGAUAUUGGGAAGAACACCAGUGGCGAAGGCGGCUCACUGGUCCGAUACUGACGCUGAGGGACGAAAGCGUGGGGAGCGAACAG
This 399-nucleotide ribosomal RNA is filed under the name uncultured bacterium. RNAcentral describes it as "partial 16S ribosomal RNA". It matches the Rfam family "Bacterial small subunit ribosomal RNA", at positions 359 to 775 of the family's 1533-position model. The record is from RNAcentral.